UACGUAGGGGGCUAGCGUUGCUCGGAAUCACUGGGCGUAAAGCGCACGUAGGCGGCUUUUUAAGUCAGGGGUGAAAUCCUGGAGCUCAACUCCAGAACUGCCUUUGAUACUGGGAAGCUUGAGUCCGGAAGAGGUGAGUGGAACUCCGAGUGUAGAGGUGAAAUUCGUAGAUAUUCGGAAGAACACCAGUGGCGAAGGCGGCUCACUGGUCCGGUACUGACGCUGAGGUGCGAAAGCGUGGGGAGCAAACAGG
RNAcentral lists this ribosomal RNA (253 nucleotides) under uncultured bacterium. RNAcentral describes it as "partial 16S ribosomal RNA". It matches the Rfam family "Bacterial small subunit ribosomal RNA", at positions 524 to 776 of the family's 1533-position model. The record is from RNAcentral.